Molecule: long non-coding RNA, 3230 nt
Filed under: Canis lupus familiaris (dog)
Lineage: Eukaryota; Metazoa; Chordata; Mammalia; Carnivora; Canidae
Description: lncRNA (ENSCAFG00000051582.1)
Source: RNAcentral
AUAUAUUACAAUCUUUCUGCAAGGGAGAAGCCAAUUCAAAGAUAGUCUCUUGGUAAAAAUAGAAAUAAUUAUUUGCCUAAACACACAAAAAAUCAUUUGGUAUAAGGUCAUUAGACUCAAAUCUGGUAGUCAGUAGGAAUAUUGGUGGCUAGUAGUUAAAUAUAUAUUGUGGUAGCCAAUUGUCCAAGAUGGUCUCCAAUGAUCUCUACCCCUGGUUCACAUAUUCAUGUAUAGUUCCUUCCCACAUAGUACUAGGAUAAGUUUGUGUCAAUGGAAUACAGCAGAAGUGAUGGCAUGUCAGUGAUGAGAUGAGAUUAUAAAGGAUACUUCCACCACUCUCUCUUUUAGAUCACUUACUCUGGGGGAUGCUAGCUGCCAUUGGCCAGGCUCACCAGUGAGGAACUAAAGCCUAUAUAUAACCAGAUGAGUGAAUUUGGAAGUGGAUUCUUCAGUCCUACUUGAGUCUUGAGAUAAUUGUAGCCUCAGCUAAAACUUGAUUGCUAUUCACAAGAGACCCUGUGCCAGAAUCACCCAGCUAAGUCACUCCCAGAUUCCUAAUCCUCAUAAAUGGUGUGAAAUAAUAAAUGUUUGUUGUUUUAACCCACUAUGCUUUGGAGGAUAGUUUGUUAUGCGGCAGUAGAUAACUAAUACACACAUUUUUAAAAUGAUUACAGUACCAAAGUUUCUGGGAUUUAGAAAAUAUAAUUUGUACCAAUAAUUAGAAGAAGAUGAAGAGUGGAAGGUUAUCAGAAUAUUAGAACAUUCAGAAAUACUGUAUGUUUUACUUUGUUGGAAUCUAGAUACCUGUACAGGCAAAAGAAUAUAAGAUUGCUUUAGAAACAUUGCAUUAUAUACAUCCUUUCUCAUGUCCUCAACAAAUAUAAUUAUGCUGGUUUAAACAUUUUAGAACUUCUUUUCUUUCUUCUUUUAUUUUUUCCAAAUUAAUAUUCAUGUAGAAACUCAUCUGAGGCUGACAAUCUGGAUUCUAGUUUACAAUUUAUAGCAAUACAGAAUACCUAUUUUUAAUGAUGCUUAACAAUCUUUGGGGACAGGUCCUAGCACAUGUGCUGUGAAUGUUUUUUUCCAAGACAAUGAUAACUAUGUCAAUUUCAAACAGGAAUGUGUUAGAAUGGGGCUGUGUGCCAGUAUUUGUUGAAAAAUUUAAAACAAUCAUGAAUCAAUGACCAAAAAGAUAAGAUUUAAAGGAAACUGGUCUGACAGAAAACUACUCUCUCAUAUUAUUACAUAUUUUUCUUAUAUAUGCUAAAAUUUUAUUUUGAGAUUAUGUUGUUUUAAAUAAAUCAAUAUAUUUUAAAAAUUAAUUUGGUAAUUCUUACAUUAUUAAAGUUAGACCAUGUAGAUAUCACAAGGAACAUAAAAAAAUUCUUGAGUUACGAAUAGAAGUACAAUAACUACGAAACUCAAAGAACAAGGGAUUUACGAGAGCUCAGUAGCCUCAAAAAUCCUAAAAUGGAACACAGAUAUUUUUCAAACACUAGGAAUCAUUCAGUCUAAAGUUUUUAUUUACAGAUGUGAACCCAAGUAAUAAUAAUGGUAGAUAAUAUUUUACUGAAGGCUCAUAUAUAUCAAGCAUACCUACUCACCUGAUCACCCAUCCCUAUUUCUGAUUUUCUCAAUCUUACUUUACCCUUUUCUUUACAAAAGCGAUUAUCACUUUCUAAUAUACCAUAUAAUUUACAUAUUUAUUAGAUUAGUGUCAGGUUAAGUGAUUUACCUACUUUCAUACAGCUUGAGGUGGGAUUAGAAUCUGGAUUUCUGGCCAGCCUGGAUGGUUCAGCGGUUUAGUGUCACCUUCAGCCCAAGGCCUGAUCCUGGAGACAUGGGAUCAAGUCCCACGUCGGGCUCCCUGCAUGGAGCUUGCUUCUCCUUCUGCCUGUGUCUCUGCCUCUCUCUCUCUCUCUCUCUCUCUCUCUCUCUGUGUGUGUGUCUCUCUCAUGAAUAAAUAAAAUAAGAUCUAAAAAAAAAAAUCUGGAUUUCUUUAUAUUCAUUUGAGUCAAUCUAGUCAACAAAUACUUAAGAGCCUAUCAUGCAUAACAGAAUUCAUCCAACAGAUCCAAUUGCUCCUUAUUUUAUAGGGAAUAUACUAUUUUUUAGAAGAAAAAUGCUUUAGAAGUGAUUCUUUAAGUUUUCAUUGUCUGAGAGCUUAUUUAGAAUAUGAAUGCAUAUUGUGAACUAUUUUGUUACUUGAAUACAUUUUUUAUUCUAUUACUCUCUUUCCUAAGUAUACAGAACUGUAUGUAAUGAAAUGUCCCUUGCAGUAUCAGUUCUUUUAUCUUGAAAUGUUGUCACGUCUAUAGUUAACUUUGUGAUUAGGAAAUGGAAUUCAGGCACAGUAAAGACCUGUUUGAUUUGUGACUCACGGUGUAUAGACAUUGGGUGGCUUGAUGCCUCUGGCAGUUCAGACCUGUAAUGACAAAUCAGUGCUAGAAUAAUGAUUUUUUUUCUCCUCAUUUUGAAAUCCUACAUCAAAUGAAUAAGUAUCCUUAAAUAGUUUAACUUAGGUAGGCUGAUAUGGCAAAACAAGAUUUGGGAUUAUGCUGUUAACACACCUUUCCCAUAGUGUUCACUACAAGCUCACAUUUAACCAACUACAUUUUGAUAUCAAUUUUUCCCAAUGAUUUAAUCUUAAAAUUCAACCCUAAAUAUCAAAAGUGUUUGUAUGCCAAAGUGUUAAAGUACAUUUAUAUAUUUCAUAAUUACUUUUCAUUUAAUCCAGUUAAACUUCAGAGUCUUAGUCUGAGCUCAAGGCAUUGAUUCCUUCAUUCCCAAAAUAUUUAUAGAGCAUCUAUUUUAAAAAGCACUUCAAUAGGCUCUGUCAUGUAACUUAGAGUCCAUGAGGGGUGACAGAGGAUUACAUAAACAAUUAAAUACAGUGUGAUAAUGACAUCUGAGAGGAAAACCCUAUAUGAUCUAAGAACACUGAGAAUAAUUGAAGGAGGACAUGAAAGUCAGCUAAAUGUAGUGGGUUAAGACAUCACCAGAAAGCAAGGAACAAUUUUUCAGGGCAAGAGGACAGUUUGUGUAAAGGCUAGGAAGGGAGAGAGAAAAUAGUGCACUGGAGGAACUGAAAGUUCAAUGUGACUGGAGUAGGGGUAGAAGGGUCAAGCUUAAAGAUGAGACUGGAGAGGAACCCAAAGAUCAAGGGCCAGUACACCUAGAAUCCUACAAGCAAGGCUAAAGAUUUUGAAACUAAUCUUAGAGCCAUAGAG